Molecule: ribosomal RNA, 452 nt
Filed under: uncultured bacterium
Lineage: Bacteria
Description: bacterial SSU rRNA
Rfam family: Bacterial small subunit ribosomal RNA
Source: RNAcentral
UCAGGAAUAUUGCGCAAUGGAGGAAACUCUGACGCAGCGACGCCGCGUGGGUGAUGAAGGCCUUCGGGUCGUAAAGCCCUGUCGGAGGGAAAGAAAAGCUCGCUGGCUAAUAUCCAGCGAGCCCUUGACGGUACCCUCAAAGGAAGCACCGGCUAACUCCGUGCCAGCAGCCGCGGUAAGACGGAGGGUGCAAGCGUUGUUCGGAUUGACUGGGCGUAAAGGGCGUGUAGGCGGUCGGCCAAGUCUGAUGUGAAAGCCCGAGGCUCAGCCUCGGAAGUGCGUCGGAAACUAGUCGGCUGGAGCGCGAUAGAGGAGGGUGGAAUUCCUGGUGUAGCGGUGAAAUGCGUAGAUAUCAGGAGGAACACCGGCGGCGAAGGCGGCCCUCUGGAUCGUUGCUGACGCUGAGACGCGAAAGCGUGGGGAGCAAACAGGAUUAGAUACCCCCGUAGUCC